GUACUCGCUUCGGCAGCACAUAUGCUAAAAGUGGAACGAUACAGAGAAAAUUAGCAUGGCCCCUGAGCAAGGGUAAUACGCACAUUCGUGAAGUGUUCCAUGUUUUU
Small nuclear RNA from Tachyglossus aculeatus (Australian echidna), 107 nucleotides. The record is from RefSeq and is a predicted model, not a curated record. NCBI's taxonomy places the organism in Eukaryota, Metazoa, Chordata, Mammalia, Monotremata, Tachyglossidae.